CCUGCCAGACAGUGAAACUGCGUACGGCUCAUUACACCAGCUGUAAUUUACUUGACCUUGACAACCUACUUGGAUAACUGUGGUAAUUCUAGAGCUAAUACAUGCACCAAAGCUCCGAUCCUCGCGGAGAGGAGCGCAUUUGUUCGCCACAAAACCAAGCGCCUUCACAGGCGUUCAGUGUUGACUCAGAACAACUCAGCUGAUCGCACGGUCUUGCACCGGCGACGUGUCUUUCAAGUGUCUGCCUUAUCAACUUUCGAUGGUAGUGUACCUGACUACCAUGGUGAUGACGGGUAACGGAGGAUAAGGGUUCGACUCCGGAGAAGGGGCCUGAGAAAUGGCCACUACGUCUAAGGAUGGCAGCAGGCGCGCAAAUUACCCACUCUCAACAUGAGGAGGUAGUGACGAGAAAUAACGAGACUGUUCUCAUAUGAGGCCAGUUAUUGGAAUGGGUACAAUUUAAACCCUUUAACGAGUAUCUAUGAGAGGGCAAGUCUGGUGCCAGCAGCCGCGGUAAUUCCAGCUCUCAAAAUGCAUAGAAUUAUUGCUGCGGUUAAAAAGCUCGUAGUUGGAUCUGUGUUGGCCGCCCGGUCUGCCCCUCGUGGUAUGUACUGGUGCGGUCGGCUUUUCUGUCGGAAUGCCUCACAGCGUUGGCCUUCACUGGCYGGCGUUGCGGGUCCGGCAAGUUUACUUUGAACAAAUCAGAGUGCUUCAAACAGGCGUCUCGCCUGAAUGUUCGUGCAUGGAAUAAUAGAAGAGGAUCACGGUCCGAUUUUAUUGGUUUUGCUGACCGAGAUAAUGGUUAACAGAGACAAACGGGGCCAUUCGUAUUGCUGCGUGAGAGGUGAAAUUCUUGGACCGUAGCAAGACGGACUACAGCGAAAGCAUUUGGCAAGAAUGUCUUCAUUAAUCAAGAACGAAAGUCAGAGGU
This 931-nucleotide ribosomal RNA is filed under the name Helicotylenchus varicaudatus. RNAcentral's name for it is "SSU rRNA". It matches the Rfam family "Eukaryotic small subunit ribosomal RNA", at positions 70 to 1008 of the family's 1831-position model. Lineage: Eukaryota; Metazoa; Nematoda; Chromadorea; Rhabditida; Hoplolaimidae. The record is from RNAcentral.